This 109-nucleotide ribosomal RNA is filed under the name Scophthalmus maximus (turbot). Lineage: Eukaryota; Metazoa; Chordata; Actinopteri; Pleuronectiformes; Scophthalmidae. The record is from RNAcentral.
GCUUACGGCCACAACGCCUUGUAUACGCUUGAUCUCGGAAGAUAAGAUAGGUUGGGCCUGGUUAGUACUUGGAUGGGAGACCGCCUGGGAAUACCAGGUGCUGUAAGCU